Molecule: ribosomal RNA, 469 nt
Filed under: uncultured bacterium
Lineage: Bacteria
Description: partial 16S ribosomal RNA
Rfam family: Bacterial small subunit ribosomal RNA
Source: RNAcentral
GACGAACGCUGGCGGCGUGCUUAACACAUGCAAGUCGAACGGAAAGGCCCUGCUUGCAGGGUGCUCGAGUGGCGAACGGGUGAGUAACACGUGGGUGAUCUGCCCCUUAUUUUGGGAUAAGCCUGGGAAACUGGGUCUAAUACUGGAUAGGACCAUGCUGUAGGUGGUGUGGUGGAAAGAUUAGUUUCGGUAAGGGAUGAGCUCGCGGCCUAUCAGCUUGUUGGUGGGGUAAUGGCCUACCAAGGCGUCGACGGGUAGCCGGCCUGAGAGGGUGGGCGGCCACAUUGGGACUGAGAUACGGCCCAGACGCCUACGGUAGGCAGCAGUGGGGGAUAGUGCACAAUGGGCGCAAGCCUGAUGCAGCGACGCCGCGUGGGGGGUGACGGCCUUCUGGUUGUAAACUCCUUUCGGCCAUGACGAAGCCCUUGUGGUGACGGUAGUGGUAGAAGAAGCACCGGCUAACUACGUG